Molecule: long non-coding RNA, 769 nt
Filed under: Homo sapiens (human)
Lineage: Eukaryota; Metazoa; Chordata; Mammalia; Primates; Hominidae
Description: HSALNT0122215
Source: RNAcentral
CUUGAAUUCCUGCACUCAAGGGAUUUUCCUGCCCUGGCCUCCCAAAGUAUUGGUAUUACAGGCAUGAGCUAUUGUGCCCACCGUCUCUGGUUCUUAACCUUCUGCCUCCCUCUUCCAGUUUUAAAGAAUGCUUGUAAUUACAUGGGCUCUCCUAGAUACUCCAGGAUAAUCUUGUUUUAAGGUCAGCUGAUGAGCAACAUUAAUUUUAUCUGCACUCUUAAUUCCCCCUUCCUAUGUAAUUGUGCUGUGUAACAUAGGACAUGAGCAAUUGGUGGCGGCGGUGGGGGUUAUUACUUUGGCCACCACAGUAACUAUUUUAUGCCAGGUACUCAGCUAAGCAUUGGUGAAUUAAGCAUGAAUAACACACACUCCCUAAUCUCCAUCCAUUCAUGGGAGGAGCACCUCACCUGCCAUGCUCCUGAGAAUCUCGGCAGUCAAAGAAGUCUUCUAUGAGGAGGUGAUGCCAAAGCGGACAAGUGACAGAGGAGUCGAAGCUAGCUAGGAAGAGAGUAGAGGUUUAAGGGGAAGCAUAUUAUAAGCAGAGGAUAUCACCCACUUCAGAGACUCCCAGAGGAGAAGGAGUGGGCGUUCAAGGGGCAGAUGAAGCUCAGUUGGACUCCAUAGCAGAUGAAAUGGAGAGGGGCAAGCAGUGAGGCUGCCUUGCAAGGCAGGGCAGAGCAGGGGCUGUUAAGGAGUUUGGACUUAAUCCCUGAGGCAAGGAGAAGUGAUGUAAAUGGGGGAGUAACAUGAUGAGAUUCAUGGAUUAGAG